This 263-nucleotide ribosomal RNA is filed under the name uncultured archaeon. Its description in RNAcentral is "partial 16S ribosomal RNA". It matches the Rfam family "Archaeal small subunit ribosomal RNA", at positions 748 to 1009 of the family's 1478-position model. The record is from RNAcentral.
CAGCCGUAAACUAUGCGCGUUAGGUGUAUCGGUGACCACGAGUCACCGAGGUGCCGAAGGGAAACCGUGAAACGUGCCGCCUGGGAAGUACGGUCGCAAGGCUGAAACUUAAAGGAAUUGGCGGGGGAGCACCACGAACGGGUGGAGCCUGCGGUUUAAUUGGACUCAACGUCCGGACAACUCACCGGGGACGACAGCAAUAUGUAGGCCAGGCUGAAGACCUUGCCUGAAUCGCUGAGAGGAGGUGCAUGGCGUAGACGUCU